Gymnodraco acuticeps is the source of this 276-nucleotide long non-coding RNA. RefSeq lists it as uncharacterized. The transcript is spliced from 3 exons. NCBI's taxonomy places the organism in Eukaryota, Metazoa, Chordata, Actinopteri, Perciformes, Bathydraconidae. The record is from RefSeq and is a predicted model, not a curated record.
GGAACUUCUUCCACCUCUGUCCACCAGUGUUAAUCUUCACGCUGCGUGUAGGUCUCGCGAGAUUUCACGAGACGAUAAGUUGAAGGGAACAUGGCGACGUCUCAUUUGCUAAAGAACAAAGGCUCCCUUCAAUUUGAGGACAAAUGGGAGCUGAUGCGUCCGAUCGUGCUGAAGCUGCUGCGGCAGGAGAGUGUCACCAAGCAGCAGUGGUUCGACCUAUUCUCGAUUGGUGACAAAGCGCAGCCCUGGCGGAGGCCAACCCUCACCGGAAAUGGG